Small nuclear RNA from Myotis lucifugus (little brown bat), 107 nucleotides. The record is from Ensembl. NCBI's taxonomy places the organism in Eukaryota, Metazoa, Chordata, Mammalia, Chiroptera, Vespertilionidae.
AUAGUCACUUCGGCAGCUUGUAUACUAAGAUUGGAACGAUACAGAGAAGAUUGGGAUGGCCCCUGUGCAAGGGUGACACGCAUAUUCCUGAAACGUUCUACAUUUUG